Anastrepha obliqua is the source of this 839-nucleotide long non-coding RNA. RefSeq lists it as uncharacterized. The transcript has 4 exons. Lineage: Eukaryota; Metazoa; Arthropoda; Insecta; Diptera; Tephritidae. The record is from RefSeq and is a predicted model, not a curated record.
GGCAGAAGAAGAGUGCGCACGAAGCAGCAGCGCCACAUAACAUCAGAAGCACAGUGUUAGACAGGCAGAAAAGUGUAUCGCACGGCGCACAGCGCACAGCCUAAACUCGUAUCGAAUCGAAUCGUCUCUAAAUGCAACCAACGAGCUGCUGCAUUGCAAGCCAAUAAAACACAAACUAAUUGAAAGCGUAAAGUAAUCGCAAAUUGAAUUUAAAAAGAAAAAAGAGAAAAAAACAUCAAGCUGCCAAGUGAAGCAUAAAAAGCAGUUUGUUAUAUAAAAAAAACACAAAAAAAUUAACACACAACUCGAAGUAAAAUUGCUUGGUGUUAAAGAAACAGAACGAAGCGGGAUAGCAGCAGCACACAGCUGAAGCCGUCUUGCCGUUUCCAUGCUAUUGAAUUGGUGAUUUGAUUCUUCUGCCUAUAGCAGUAAAGAGUUUGCACUAAAGCCAUAGGCCAAAGCAGUGAAGACGUUAACGUAUUUGAAGUUAAUUUUUGUUUUCCUUUCGGUUGGUGCAUAUGCAACGUGAGGUGAAGUGAGCCACAAGCCGGAGGAAAAACGCAGUGAAUACGGUUUUUUCCGUUUAUUUUCUUCCAUUUUUCCGCAUCUAUCUUGCAACUGUCCUUUUCACUGAUAUUUUUCACUGAACUUGGCGGACUCUUCAAAGCUAUCUCUAGCACUUGUCGCGCAUAGAAAAAACAUACUGUGCUCUGGUUACAACAGCAAAAGCAGCAACAACAGCAAUACCUUCUUCAACUUAGGCAACAACUUUUACAACACAGCUGAGUUACUCGAACUUCGCUGUGUCUUUGAUCGUAAACUUUGCAGUUAAUACAAAG